Molecule: ribosomal RNA, 250 nt
Filed under: Escherichia coli
Lineage: Bacteria; Pseudomonadati; Pseudomonadota; Gammaproteobacteria; Enterobacterales; Enterobacteriaceae
Description: partial 23S ribosomal RNA
Rfam family: Bacterial large subunit ribosomal RNA
Source: RNAcentral
CGGAGUGGACGCAUCACUGGUGUUCGGGUUGUCAUGCCAAUGGCACUGCCCGGUAGCUAAAUGCGGAAGAGAUAAGUGCUGAAAGCAUCUAAGCACGAAACUUGCCCCGAGAUGAGUUCUCCCUGACCCUUUAAGGGUCCUGAAGGAACGUUGAAGACGACGACGUUGAUAGGCCGGGUGUGUAAGCGCAGCGAUGCGUUGAGCUAACCGGUACUAAUGAACCGUGAGGCUUAACCUUACAACGCCGAAG